GCUGCCCCUCAUAAGAUCUUCUU
This 23-nucleotide non-coding RNA is filed under the name Arabidopsis thaliana (thale cress). The record is from RNAcentral. Lineage: Eukaryota; Viridiplantae; Streptophyta; Magnoliopsida; Brassicales; Brassicaceae.